RNAcentral lists this ribosomal RNA (494 nucleotides) under uncultured bacterium. Its description in RNAcentral is "partial 16S ribosomal RNA". It matches the Rfam family "Bacterial small subunit ribosomal RNA", at positions 28 to 507 of the family's 1533-position model. The record is from RNAcentral.
GACGAACGCUGGCGGCGUGCUUAACACAUGCAAGUCGAACGGAAAGGCCUGCUUUCCCUUGUGGAUUGCGGGUACUCGAGUGGCGAACGGGUGAGUAACACGUGAGUGAUCUACCCCCAACUUGGGUAUAAGCCUGGGAAACUGGGUCUAAUUCCCGAUAGGACUGCAGGGUGGUGCCUGUGGUGGAAAACGAUUUUCUAGUGGUUGGGGAUGAGCUCGCGGCCUAUCAGCUUGUUGGUGGGGUAAUGGCCUACCAAGGCGGCGACGGGUAGCCGGCCUGAGAGGGUGGACGGCCACAUUGGGACUGAGAUACGGCCCAGACUCCUACGGGAGGCAGCAGUGGGGAAUAUUGCACAGUGGGCGGAAGCCUGAUGCAGCGACGCCGCGUGGGGGAUGACGGCCUUCGGGUUGUAAACUCCUUUCGACCGCGAGGAAGCCACCUGGUUGGAAGGGUGGUGACGGUAGUGGUAGAAGAAGCACCGGCUAACUACGUG